This 301-nucleotide ribosomal RNA is filed under the name uncultured bacterium. Its description in RNAcentral is "partial 16S ribosomal RNA". It matches the Rfam family "Bacterial small subunit ribosomal RNA", at positions 509 to 807 of the family's 1533-position model. The record is from RNAcentral.
CAGUAGCCACGGUAAUACGUAGGGUGCGAGCGUUAAUCGGAAUUACUGGGCGUAAAGCGAGCGCAGACGGUUAUUUAAGCAGGAUGUGAAAUCCCCGGGCUUAACCUGGGAACUGCGUUCUGAACUGGAUAGCUAGAGUGUGUCAGAGGGGGGUAGAAUUCCACGUGUAGCAGUGAAAUGCGUAGAGAUGUGGAGGAAUACCGAUGGCGAAGGCAGCCCCCUGGGAUAACACUGACGUUCAUGCUCGAAAGCGAGGGUAGCAAACAGGAUUAGAUACCCCGGUAGUCCCUGUCUCUUAUAC